This 295-nucleotide long non-coding RNA is filed under the name Salvia miltiorrhiza (redroot sage). RNAcentral's name for it is "long non-coding RNA (SMIL_LNC012775)". Lineage: Eukaryota; Viridiplantae; Streptophyta; Magnoliopsida; Lamiales; Lamiaceae. The record is from RNAcentral.
GAAAGACCAGUAACGAUGCCUAUGCCAACACCUCCACAGGCACAAACUCAGAACAUUUGAGGAAAAAGAAAAGAGGACAACAGUAACAAUUGUCAAGCGAAAAAAAAAAAAAACAACCAUGGCAGGGGCAAUCAUCCCAGCAACAAGGCUACAAAAGCCAAAAGGGUACUCCUAGACAGAUAGGAGAUAACCAACAAAGAAUCCUGCCCUGCCCAAAUUGUAACAAGAACCAUGGGAGAUGCUGUAAUAAUGGAAGAGUGGAAGUGAAGGUUGUUACACAGUAGCCAGAAGGGCA